UGGGGGCAGACCAGGCCUGGCAGGGCUGCAACAUGUGUUGGCCUUCAUGUAAGCUGGAUCGGGGAAAACCAAGCUGGGCUGACUGUUCAUACUAGUACA
Ochotona curzoniae (black-lipped pika) is the source of this 99-nucleotide long non-coding RNA. RefSeq lists it as uncharacterized. The transcript is spliced from 3 exons. NCBI's taxonomy places the organism in Eukaryota, Metazoa, Chordata, Mammalia, Lagomorpha, Ochotonidae. The record is from RefSeq and is a predicted model, not a curated record.